Long non-coding RNA from Portunus trituberculatus (swimming crab), 1251 nucleotides. RefSeq lists it as uncharacterized. NCBI's taxonomy places the organism in Eukaryota, Metazoa, Arthropoda, Malacostraca, Decapoda, Portunidae. The record is from RefSeq and is a predicted model, not a curated record. The transcript has 5 exons.
UCGGAUCUGCGGAAGAACAAGAAGAAGAAGAAAUGUUGCUUCAAAUUUAGGAAGAACAAGAAGAAGAAAUGUUGCUUCGAAUUUGUGAAGAAAAGAAAUGAAAACAAGAAGAAAAAGAAUAGGAAAAACAAGGAUAUCUGUAAUUUUGAAUCUUGUUGUAGCUUUGAAUUUGCAGAAGGACAAGAAGAACUAAUGUAGCUUCAAAUCUGGGAGGAGAAAGGAACAAGAACAAGAAAAAAGAGGAAUAAGAACUGUAGCUUCAGAUCUGGGAAAAGAACAAGGACAAGAACAAGAACAAUUAACUUAGAAUCUGAGAAGAACAAAAACAAGAAUCUGAAGAACAUGGAUGAGAACAACUGUAGCUUCAAAUCUGGGGAGAACAAGAACAAGGACAACUGUAGCUUCAAAUCUGAGAAAAACAAGAAAUAACAGGAAGAACAAGAAACAAGAAGAAAAGGACAGCAAGCUUCAAAUCUAGAGAAGAACAAGAACAAGAACAGGAAAAAUAAGGACAGCUGUAACUCUGAAUGUGAGGAAAAUAGUGAAGACUGGCCAUUAAUCUUGUGACCGCCAUAGACCCUUGUUAAUGUCAAUAUAAUGGUCUAAUGGUACACAAAUCUCAAGCUUCUGAAUCUCGUCCCAGUGGAUUGAAGGCUCGAAAUCGGAAAUGAAGCGAGCAAACAGUUUCUCAAAGCCUUCAAACUCCUUCCGUGUGGCGUCCCUGAUUGCAGGAGGUGAGGUGAGCAGCAGGCGGUCUAGUUCCUGGCUAAGCUGGACCCUUGCCUCCACCUUGGUCUGUUGCUUGAAGGCGUCCAUGGAGGGCCGACGCUGUGGUUCUCCCUGGGGUUAGAGAGCCUGGCGAGCAUAAGCAACCGGCGCAGGGAGAGAGACAGUGUGGGAGCAGCUGGCGUGGAGGUGACACAAGCCAUAGGUAACAGUCUGCAGGUCCCGGAGACACAGCUGGUUGUCGUCACACACCACGUGGUACUUGAUGAGAGAGAAGGAAGAAGCCCCUGGUGGAUGGAUGGAUGAUGCCGCCCUCCACCACAGUGCCGGGCGGAACAUUGCCGGCACCUCCACCUGGGCCCUGGAACAACCUGCAAUGCCACACACACUUCAGGUCAGGGGCGGCCGGUACUCCCCAUCACUCUGCAUAGCUCUACACGCCCUCCUGAUCUCCGCAGCCUCCCAGGAAGUGACGCGCUCCACCUCCUCCUGCGGCAGGUCAAGGCGAUACACCAGCAGCGACUG